CACGUAGGGCGCGAGCGUUGUCCGGAAUCACUGGGCGUAAAGGGCGCGUAGGCGGAUGGCACAGUCAGAUGUGAAAUUCCUGGGCUUAACCUGGGGGCUGCAUUUGAUACGUGUGAUCUAGAGUGAGGAAGAGGGUUGUGGAAUUCCCAGUGUAGAGGUGAAAUUCGUAGAUAUUGGGAAGAACACCGGUGGCGAAGGCGGCGACCUGGUCCUUAACUGACGCUGAGGCGCGAAAGCGUGGGGAGCAAACAGG
This 253-nucleotide ribosomal RNA is filed under the name uncultured bacterium. RNAcentral describes it as "partial 16S ribosomal RNA". It matches the Rfam family "Bacterial small subunit ribosomal RNA", at positions 524 to 776 of the family's 1533-position model. The record is from RNAcentral.